GCAAACUUGGUCAUUUAGAGGAAGUAAAAGUCGUAACAAGGUUUCCGUAGGUGAACCUGCGGAAGGAUCAUUACUGAGUGAGGGCCCUCUGGGUCCAACCUCCCACCCGUGUUUAUUGUACCUUGUUGCUUCGGCAGGCCCGCCUUACGGCCGCCGGGGGGCUUCUGCCCCCGGGCCCGCGCCUGCCGGAGACAAUCUUGAACGCUGUCUGAAGAAUGCAGUCUGAGCGAUUAAGCAAAAUUAGUUAAAACUUUCAACAACGGAUCUCUUGGUUCCGGCAUCGAUGAAGAACGCAGC
This 297-nucleotide unclassified non-coding RNA is filed under the name uncultured fungus. RNAcentral describes it as "partial contains small subunit ribosomal RNA, internal transcribed spacer 1, and 5.8S ribosomal RNA". The stretch from base 1 to 73 matches the Rfam family "Eukaryotic small subunit ribosomal RNA", at positions 1759 to 1831 of the family's 1831-position model. The record is from RNAcentral. Lineage: Eukaryota; Fungi.